UACACUCCUGCGGGAGGCAGCAGUGGGGAAUAUUGCACAAUGGGCGCAAGCCUGAUCCAGCCAUGCCGCGUGUAUGAAGAAGGCCUUCGGGUUGUAAAGUACUUUCAGCGGGGAGGAAGGCGAUAAGGUUAAUAACCUUGUCGAUUGACGUUACCCGCAGAAGAAGCACCGGCUAACUCCGUGCCAGCAGCCGCGGUAAUACGGAGGGUGCAAGCGUUAAUCGGAAUUACUGGGCGUAAAGCGCACGCAGGCGGUCUGUCAAGUCGGAUGUGAAAUCCCCGGGCUCAACCUGGGAACUGCAUUCGAAACUGGCAGGCUAGAGUCUUGUAGAGGGGGGUAGAAUUCCAGGUGUAGCGGUGAAAUGCGUAGAGAUCUGGAGGAAUACCGGUGGCGAAGGCGGCCCCCUGGACAAAGACUGACGCUCAGGUGCGAAAGCGUGGGGAGCAAACAGGAUUAGAUACCCCAGUAGUCCCAUGA
Molecule: ribosomal RNA, 477 nt
Filed under: uncultured organism
Description: partial 16S ribosomal RNA
Rfam family: Bacterial small subunit ribosomal RNA
Source: RNAcentral